This 473-nucleotide ribosomal RNA is filed under the name uncultured organism. RNAcentral describes it as "partial 16S ribosomal RNA". It matches the Rfam family "Bacterial small subunit ribosomal RNA", at positions 334 to 798 of the family's 1533-position model. The record is from RNAcentral.
CACUCCUACGGGAGGCAGCAGUGGGGAAUAUUGCACAAUGGGCGCAAGCCUGAUGCAGCCAUGCCGCGUGUAUGAAGAAGGCCUUCGGGUUGUAAAGUACUUUCAGCGGGGAGGAAGGCGAUAAGGUUAAUAACCUUGUCGAUUGACGUUACCCGCAGAAGAAGCACCGGCUAACUCCGUGCCAGCAGCCGCGGUAAUACGGAGGGUGCAAGCGUUAAUCGGAAUUACUGGGCGUAAAGCGCACGCAGGCGGUCUGUCAAGUCGGAUGUGAAAUCCCCGGGCUCAACCUGGGAACUGCAUUCGAAACUGGCAGGCUAGAGUCUUGUAGAGGGGGGUAGAAUUCCAGGUGUAGCGGUGAAAUGCGUAGAGAUCUGGAGGAAUACCGGUGGCGAAGGCGGCCCCCUGGACAAAGACUGACGCUCAGGUGCGAAAGCGUGGGGAGCAAACAGGAUUAGAUACCCUAGUAGUCCCAU